ACUGCCUUAUGCCAUGCCUCUCAGCGUGCAGGACAUGGCACCAGGUGAACAUAAUCAAAAUCAGCCAACAGGCUUCUGCACCAUAUGGAGUGGAUCCCAAUCAGGGCAGAAGGUGGCUAAUAUUGAAGUUGCCGUGUACACUGAGAGGAAGGGAAGACAAAGAAGGCGAAGGCUUUGUUGCUUUGGACAACGAGGUUUGGAACUGCACAGAAAACCUACUGGUGGACCACAAAGAGACUGCUGCAACACACACCGCUGGACACGCCCAUACACGCUCUGCUUCUGCUGCCAUGCGCCGACACAGCUGUGCGCAAUCAUCACUCAACACACCUUCUGCUGAUGACACCACUCCCCAUAAAAGCCAGCAUGCCCAGAGAACCAACACUGGAACGUAAUCUCUGCUUGCAAAUUCCCUCCGUCACCUUAGAAGUGAGCUGUGCGCCUCACUUCUCUGGACCCCUCUGGAUUUUGACUGCCUCCCUCGAUCCUCGACCCCCCACUUUGGACUCGGACCUCUUGACGCCCCUCUCAGCCCCGCGGAUUCUCCCACCUGCCUCGCCCAACUGGACUGGUCGCCUGGCCACUCAACAUGCACUUAAAAACAACCACUGGUAAAUGUUCAUUGUAACACUUCACAUAGUCCUGCAAACAA
Molecule: long non-coding RNA, 652 nt
Organism: Nerophis ophidion (straightnose pipefish)
Lineage: Eukaryota; Metazoa; Chordata; Actinopteri; Syngnathiformes; Syngnathidae
Exons: 3
Source: RefSeq, a predicted model, not a curated record